RNAcentral lists this ribosomal RNA (254 nucleotides) under uncultured bacterium. RNAcentral's name for it is "partial 16S ribosomal RNA". It matches the Rfam family "Bacterial small subunit ribosomal RNA", at positions 524 to 776 of the family's 1533-position model. The record is from RNAcentral.
UACGUAGGGGGCAAGCGUUGUCCGGAUUUAUUGGGCGUAAAGAGCGUGUAGGCGGCCAGGUAGGUCUGGUGUGAAAACUCGAGGCUUAACCUUGAGAUGUCAUCGGAAACCAUUUGGCUAGAGUCCGGAAGAGGAAAGUGGAAUUCCUGGUGUAGCGGUGAAAUGCGCAGAUAUCAGGAAGAACACCAAUGGCGAAAGCAGCUUUCUGGGACGGUACUGACGCUGGAGACGUGAAAGCGUGGGGAGCGAACAGG